Molecule: long non-coding RNA, 226 nt
Organism: Drosophila elegans
Lineage: Eukaryota; Metazoa; Arthropoda; Insecta; Diptera; Drosophilidae
Exons: 2
Source: RefSeq, a predicted model, not a curated record
UGCCGGCGUCGACGUCGCUGCGCAACGACACCUGUGGCUAUGCGAAAAAGUCGACGAAAAAUGGGGGGCCUAUGCAGUAAUUCUCUCUCUCGCCCGAAAAAGGUGUGACGUAGAAACCAAAACACACAAAAGAAAAACAAAAAGAAUAAACGGAAAAAGGCUUGGAAGCAGCAGCUGAAAGUGUAACUAAAGUACACACAUAAAAUUGUAUACCAAUAAACACACA